UGGUAAUACAAAUUUUUAAAACUAAGUAUUUAGUGGUUGCUUGGUCAUGAAGCAAAAAAGUAAGAAGUGAGUAUUUUUAAAAAUUCCUGUACUAUUUUCCUAGGACAUCAAGCCCUAGUACAGGAAGGGACAUUUUCACACUAAUCUGUGCCAGCUGGAGCAGUCCUGCCAUCUGAACAUCAUAUUUUGGAACAUCGAGAAGCUAGGAUGCAGUUAACAGCCUCCAUGGUUACCUGAAAAUAGGAAGGAAGGAAGUCUACGAUGAUGGAGCCACAAGAUAUAUGCAUUCUUUACUGUAAAAGAUCACACAGAAAUUCUAGUUUAUAGAUUCCCCAAUGUUACUAUUCAGCCUUUGGGAGCCUGAUUCAAUUUGAAAGAGUAGAUAAAAUAUAGUUUCUAGAACUGACAAGGUGAGGAUGAGACCCAAGACCAGGGCAUGGCCACUACCAUGUGAACACUGGGAGGUCCUACAACCUCCCCUGACAUUUCUCUUGAACUUCUCAAAGUUACCUGCUGGGACCCCA
This 524-nucleotide long non-coding RNA is filed under the name Pan troglodytes (chimpanzee). RNAcentral's name for it is "long non-coding RNA NONPTRT000295". Lineage: Eukaryota; Metazoa; Chordata; Mammalia; Primates; Hominidae. The record is from RNAcentral.